RNAcentral lists this ribosomal RNA (253 nucleotides) under uncultured bacterium. RNAcentral describes it as "partial 16S ribosomal RNA". It matches the Rfam family "Bacterial small subunit ribosomal RNA", at positions 524 to 776 of the family's 1533-position model. The record is from RNAcentral.
UACGGGGGGGGCAAGCGUUGUUCGGAAUUACUGGGCGUAAAGGGCUCGUAGGCGGCCAACUAAGUCAGACGUGAAAUCCCUCGGCUUAACCGGGGAACUGCGUCUGAUACUGGAUGGCUUGAGUGUGGGAGAGGGAUGCGGAAUUCCAGGUGUAGCGGUGAAAUGCGUAGAUAUCUGGAGGAACACCGGUGGCGAAGGCGGCAUCCUGGACCACGACUGACACUGAGGAGCGAAAGCCAGGGGAGCAAACGGG